Molecule: ribosomal RNA, 253 nt
Filed under: uncultured bacterium
Lineage: Bacteria
Description: partial 16S ribosomal RNA
Rfam family: Bacterial small subunit ribosomal RNA
Source: RNAcentral
UACGUAGGGGGCAAGCGUUGUUCGGAAUCAUUGGGCGUAAAGCGCGUGUAGGCGGUUUGGUAAGUCGGGUGUGAAAUCCCUGGGCUCAACCGAGGAAGUGCAUUCGAAACUAACUGGCUAGAAGAUGGUAGAGGAAGGUGGAAUUCCAAGUGUAGAGGUGAAAUUCGUAGAUAUUUGGAGGAAUACCGGUGGCGAAGGCGGCCUUCUGGACCAUUCUUGACGCUGAGACGCGAAAGCGUGGGUAGCAAACAGG